CCUACGGGAUGCAGCAGUAGGGAAUCUUCGGCAAUGGACGAAAGUCUGACCGAGCAACGCCGCGUGAGUGAAGAAGGUUUUCGGAUCGUAAAACUCUGUAGUUAGAGAAGAACAAGUAGGAGAGUAACUGCUCUUACCUUGACGGUAUCUAACCAGAAAGCCACGGCUAACUACGCGCCAGCAGCCGCGGUAAUACGUAGGUGGCAAGCGUUGUCCGGAUUUAUUGGUCGUAAAGCGAGCGCAGGCGGUCUUUUAAGUCUGAUGUGAAAGCCCUCGGCUCAACCGAGGAAGGUCAUUGGAAACGGGAGGACUUGAGUGCAGAAGAGGAGAGUGGAAUUCCAUGUGUAGCGGUGAAAUGCGUAGAUAUAUGGAGGAACACCAGUGGCGAAGGCGACUCUCUGGUCUGUAACUGACGCUGAGGCUCGAAAGCGUGGGGAGCAAACAGGAUUAGAUACCCCAGUAGUC
Molecule: ribosomal RNA, 465 nt
Filed under: uncultured bacterium
Lineage: Bacteria
Description: bacterial SSU rRNA
Rfam family: Bacterial small subunit ribosomal RNA
Source: RNAcentral